UACGAAGGGGGCUAGCGUUGCUCGGAAUUAGUGGGCGUAAAGCGCACGUAAGCGGCUUUCUAAGUCGGGGGUGAAAUCCUGGAGCUCAACUCCAGAACUGCCUUCGAUACUGGAGAGCUCGAGUCCGGGAGAGGUGAGUGGAACUGCGAGUGUAGAGGUGAAAUUCGUAGAUAUUCGCAAGAACACCAGUGGCGAAGGCGGCUCACUGGCCCGGUACUGUCGCUGAGGUGCGAAAGCGUGGUGAGCAAACAGG
Molecule: ribosomal RNA, 253 nt
Filed under: uncultured bacterium
Lineage: Bacteria
Description: partial 16S ribosomal RNA
Rfam family: Bacterial small subunit ribosomal RNA
Source: RNAcentral